UGGGGAAUCUUGGACAAUGGGGGAAACCCUGAUCCAGCCAUGCCGCGUGGAUGAUGAAGGCCCUAGGGUUGUAAAAUCCUUUCGUUGGGGACGAUAAUGACGGUACCCAAAGAAGAAGCUCCGGCUAACUUCGUGCCAGCAGCCGCGGUAAUACGAAGGGGGCUAGCGUUGUUCGGAUUUACUGGGCGUAAAGCGCGUGUAGGCGGACUGUUAAGUUGGGGGUGAAAUCCCGAGGCUCAACCUCGGAACUGCCUUCAAAACUGGCGGUCUGGAGUGAAGGAGAGGCGAGUGGAAUUCCGAGUGUAGAGGUGAAAUUCGUAGAUAUUCGGAGGAACACCAGUGGCGAAGGCGGCUCGCUGGCCUUUUACUGACGCUGAGACGCGAAAGCGUGGGGAGCAAACAGG
RNAcentral lists this ribosomal RNA (404 nucleotides) under uncultured Alphaproteobacteria bacterium. Its description in RNAcentral is "bacterial SSU rRNA". It matches the Rfam family "Bacterial small subunit ribosomal RNA", at positions 355 to 776 of the family's 1533-position model. Lineage: Bacteria; Pseudomonadati; Pseudomonadota; Alphaproteobacteria. The record is from RNAcentral.